Molecule: ribosomal RNA, 635 nt
Filed under: Reyranella sp.
Lineage: Bacteria; Pseudomonadati; Pseudomonadota; Alphaproteobacteria; Hyphomicrobiales; Reyranellaceae
Description: bacterial SSU rRNA
Rfam family: Bacterial small subunit ribosomal RNA
Source: RNAcentral
UAGCAAUACACGAGUGGCGCACGGGUGAGUAACACGUGGAUAUCUGCCUUUUGGUUCGGAAUAACCCUGGGAAACUAGGGCUAAUACCGGAUGGUUCCUACGGGAUAAAGAUUUAUCGCCAAAAGAUGAGUCCGCGUCCGAUUAGCUAGUUGGUGAGGUAAUGGCUCACCAAGGCGACGAUCGGUAGCUGGUCUGAGAGGACGAUCAGCCACACUGGGACUGAGACACGGCCCAGACUCCUACGGGAGGCAGCAGUGGGGAAUAUUGGACAAUGGGGGCAACCCUGAUCCAGCCAUGCCGCGUGAGUGAUGAAGGCCUUCGGGUUGUAAAGCUCUUUUGGCGGGGACGAUGAUGACGGUACCCGCAGAAUAAGCCCCGGCUAACUUCGUGCCAGCAGCCGCGGUAAGACGAAGGGGGCUAGCGUUGUUCGGAAUUACUGGGCGUAAAGCGCGUGUAGGCGGUUGUUCAAGUCAGGUGUGAAAGCCUUGAGCUCAACUCAAGAAAUGCACUUGAUACUGGAUGACUAGAGGACCGGAGAGGAUAGUGGAAUUCCCAGUGUAGUGGUGAAAUACGUAGAGAUUGGGAAGAACACCAGUGGCGAAGGCGGCUAUCUGGACGGUUACUGACGCUAAGAC